Molecule: long non-coding RNA, 152 nt
Organism: Poecilia latipinna (sailfin molly)
Lineage: Eukaryota; Metazoa; Chordata; Actinopteri; Cyprinodontiformes; Poeciliidae
Exons: 3
Source: RefSeq, a predicted model, not a curated record
UUUGGGAACACAAUCUCACAUUUUCAAUCAUCUAGACCUGGCCACCCUUGGUCAGCCUCUCUAGGCUUUUUGCUGAUCUGCAGUAGUCGGUCAGUGAGAAGCAGGGUACUUCAGGAAAUCUUUUUAAAGAAUCAUUUGAACUAUUUCUAAUG